AUGCUUAAGGAUGUUGCUAAGUUUCGUGAGAUUGACGUGAUAGUUAAAAGUGCUAAGCAGAUUUGUAGAUUUUUCUACAAUCACAAUAACCUACAUGACAGCAUGAAAAAGAACAUUGGUGGUGAACUCAUAAAACCAAAUGCGACCCGGUUUGGAACGGUGUUCAUGUUCUUGGAGAGUUUCCAUUGUAAGAAAGAUGAGUUUAGGAAAUGGAUGGUGUCCGAUGAUUGGAAGGGAAGUACAUGGAACGGUGCUGCUGAUUAUGUGUUUGCUGAAGAGCUGCUAUCUAGUAAUAUGUGGUGGGCAGCUUUAGAAUGGGUUCUUGCUGUGCUAGAGCCACUCUAUAAAGCCCUUAGAUAUGCUGAUACACAAAAGAGAUGCACCCUAUCUAGAUUCAAGAAGAGUAUGAUGAUAGCCAUACAAAAGUUGGAAAGUCAUCUUGGUGGUGGAUCAAAAAUGUUUCAUAGAGUCAUGAGCAAGGUGUCCAAGAGGAUCGAUGCUAUGCAAGAAGGCACACUAUUGGUUGCAGGUAGUUACAAAACUAACAAAAUUUGUAUUAUGACGCUCUCUUUUCAUGGUUUUAACUUCUUUUGUUCUUCUCCUAUGCAGCUGCUAUCCUUGAUCCUUACACACAUUAUCAGAUCAACAUGA
RNAcentral lists this ribosomal RNA (651 nucleotides) under Triticum aestivum (bread wheat). Its description in RNAcentral is "partial small subunit ribosomal RNA". The record is from RNAcentral. Lineage: Eukaryota; Viridiplantae; Streptophyta; Magnoliopsida; Poales; Poaceae.